RNAcentral lists this ribosomal RNA (504 nucleotides) under uncultured bacterium. Its description in RNAcentral is "partial 16S ribosomal RNA". It matches the Rfam family "Bacterial small subunit ribosomal RNA", at positions 29 to 523 of the family's 1533-position model. The record is from RNAcentral.
AUUGAACGCUGGCGGCAGGCCUAACACAUGCAAGUCGGACGGUAGCACAGAGAGCUUGCUCUCGGGUGACGAGUGGCGGACGGGUGAGUAAUGUCUGGGGAUCUGCCCGAUAGAGGGGGAUAACCACUGGAAACGGUGGCUAAUACCGCAUAACGUCGCAAGACCAAAGAGGGGGACCUUCGGGCCUCUCACUAUCGGAUGAACCCAGAUGGGAUUAGCUAGUAGGCGGGGUAACGGCCCACCUAGGCGACGAUCCCUAGCUGGUCUGAGAGGAUGACCAGCCACCCUGGAACUGGGACACGGGCCAGACGCCUACGGGGGGCAGCAGUGGGGAAUAUUGCACAAUGGGCGCAAGCCUGAUGCAGCCAUGCCGCGUGUAUGAAGAAGGCCUUCGGGUUGUAAAGUACUUUCAGCGGGGAGGAAGGCGAUAAGGUUAAUAACCUUGUCGAUUGACGUUACCCGCAGAAGAAGCACCGGCUAACUCCGUGCCAGCAGCCGCCGUAA